UACGUAGGGUGCAAGCGUUGUCCGGAAUUAUUGGGCGUAGAGAGCUUGUAGGCGGUUUGUCGCGUCUGCUGUGAAAUUUCGGGGCUCAACCCCGAACUUGCAGUGGGUACGGGCAGACUAGAGUGUGGUAGGGGAGACUGGAAUUCCUGGUGUAGCGGUGAAAUGCGCAGAUAUCAGGAGGAACACCGAUGGCGAAGGCAGGUCUCUGGGCCAUAACUGACGCUGAGAAGCGAAAGCGUGGGGAGCGAACAGG
Molecule: ribosomal RNA, 253 nt
Filed under: uncultured bacterium
Lineage: Bacteria
Description: partial 16S ribosomal RNA
Rfam family: Bacterial small subunit ribosomal RNA
Source: RNAcentral